RNA transcript from Sebastes umbrosus (honeycomb rockfish), 3876 nucleotides. It is a transcript of the gene named POU class 3 homeobox 3b, with no coding region annotated. NCBI's taxonomy places the organism in Eukaryota, Metazoa, Chordata, Actinopteri, Perciformes, Sebastidae. The transcript has 9 exons. The record is from RefSeq and is a predicted model, not a curated record.
GUAACGUGCUGUUUCCAUGGAGACUGGAGCAGGUGGUCCAUGAUGCUAGCGAUCGUCAUCUCCAUCCCGAGCUGAAUGGGAUGACGUCUGCUCUCUGGCUGUUGGUCGAAGAUCCUUCCUGUAAAACGUCGGAAACCCCGAGCUGAAGAGUUCAAACAGUAUUGAGGAGGGAGGUGAGCGGUCCACUUCAGCUCCUCCUGCUUUUCCAGAGGCUGCGUGUGAUUGUAUACUGCAACAUACACCGCUACUGCUGAGCAACAUGAGCUGCUGCUACUGCUGCUGCUGAGCGUGUCAACAAAUGUGUGUCUCCUGCGACUGUCUCUCCACGUCCAUCACGUGUCUACUGAAGUCCACCCUCCUGCUCACCCAUCAACGUGCCAACAGACAGCCACUUCCUUUGAUAUGGUUUUGGUGUUUUGGUGCUGCAUUCGUGCCACAUCUGCAGAACGGGAGGAACAGGAAACCCUGCCGUCACACAAAUCACCCCAAGAAUCACUGUGGUGAAGCAUCAAGUGUCGUCAGAAAAGAAAAACACCAUCGACCAAGCAGCAGAUUGGCGGUUGCCUCGGCCUCAGGCUGGACUCCGAGUCAAGGUUGACAGCUCAUCACGCUGAGUGACAAGCGUCGGGGCGGGAACUCGACCAGAUGAGGGGGAGGAAGUUAAGCAUCAGUUGUUUCAGCAGGUGCCCCAAAGCGUAAUACGUUAACGUUCAAGGUAGGUGGACGGAUGGGUCACCAAAGAGUCGGACUUGAACACGGGAGAGGCUGCUGUUUGUUUCCUGUUUCCCAAACGAAGGUCAGUGGUUUGUUUUUUUUAAAAGCCUGACGCCGAAAACACACCUGGCAGCGACGAAGUGCGGCUCGUUACAAUAAUAAAAUGUCUCUGCGGCAGGGAGGCGUGAUCAUGUGUUUCAGACGGGACGAAAUUCUCAGUAACAUAGGUCAACAUGUCAGGAGGUACAGGAUAUAUUUACUGAUCGGCUGUGGGUGCAUCAUUUGCUGCUAAAAGUUAAACUAUCCCCAACUCUUAGUUUGGCAGCUCGUUGAGCUCAGAGCGGCCGUCGCAGCUUUCCACAGACGUUGCACGGCAGCUCGCCACAGCCUGCUCUUCACCGCUGCUCUGGUGUGUUUUUUGGCGUGGCAGGGAUUGUUCCAGUAUCUCAACUAUGUGUUUAUUAUUGUAACCAUGGCGACCAAUGUCCGGCUCCCAAACCACUAUGUUUCCCUAAACCGAACCACGUCAUUUAUGUGCCUAAACCUAACCAAACCUUAACCAUAGACCUGUCACAUCAUGAAACAGAUUUAUUACUAUUUAUUAUUAUUCUGUGUGUGGAGAAAUGGCAUAUUUUGUUAUUUAAUUUAGAGCACUUGUGCUUGAGAAGGAAGAUUAAUUUAUAUUAAUUUAUUUGCAUAUAUCAAUAUAUAUAAUAAUACAUAUGUAUUAUUGGUCCUGUUUCUGUCUCGGUAAUGCUCCAGGUGCAUAUUCCAUAACACUGGAUGGCGAAAAACACACAAAAUCAACUUUUCUCCCAUCUCUGUGGUGAUGUUUCUAUCCGUCCGUAAAGAGAUGCAUUUCCUUGGGUGUAAACGAGGUGUAAUACGAAUGUAAAACAUUUAACGUGUGCAGAACACACAGUCUUUGUUGCUCUAUUGCUUCAGCGUUCAUGUUAAAGGUCAAAUUCUCGUCAGUUUUAGUACCAAAGUGCUUAAAACUCUCAGCACUUCUUGCCCUUUAGAAACGAUCUGAGGAGGUGGAAGUGAUGCUUUUCUGAAGUCAGUAGCCGUGUCUUUAGUUUUGGAAAUUCUCAGUGUCAGAAAGAAAUCAUCAGAGCAGCCUUUGUCUUUCUCUUUCAACCUGCCACUUCCCUUCCACGUUGCACUCCUUUGACAUAUUUCUUUCUUCCUCUCUCUCUCUCUCUCUCUCUCUCUCUCUCCUUGUUUCUCUUCCUCUGCCUCCCCUUCCCCUCGUCUCUGCUUCCUCCCACCUCCCCGCCCGUCUCACAGUGUGUGAUUGAUGUCGCGAGGUAGCAUUAACACUUCUCACGCUGCUAGUACAUGGAGGAGGGAGGGGGGGGUGAUGUACAUGAACGAUUGAUUACCUUACUGCUACUAGCUGAUGACUGCUCCAACGACGGCUCCCCUGGAAUCGAUAACUACUGCUCUUUCUUUCUUUCUUUCUUACCCCCCCUCCCUAAACUUUCCCCCCCUCAAUUCUCCAAAUCAGAGACGAGGAGCUCAUGCAGCAAUUAUGAAGGAAAGGCACAUUUGCAUACGGAAAAAUAAUUAAAACAAACAAAGUGAGGCUGGGACCCCCUGGAGAGAGGAGCAGGGAGGAGCGGGGAGGAGGAGGAAGUGAAUAAUGUGGGCAUAGAAAGAGGUUUAAUUGCUCCACGCCGGGGUUGUGCCAUUUAUCUUCAACUCUCUCGCUCUGACGCCAUUUCAUUUGUCACCUUAGCGCAGAUGAGAGUUUACGUAGGUGUUCUCGGGAUAUCUGUUUCAAGGUAAAGCACCCAGACACGCACGCACAGACGCAUUACACUAUCAUACUUUGAAGAGACAGGUACGAAAUGCCGCGGCGUCAGCGUGGAGAGAUGACUCAGAGCUCGCCAAAGUUAACUGCGUCCUCACUCACUCGCACACACAUUUAGUUGCUUUAGUCUAAAGAGCUGUUACAUAAAAGAGUCCAGUUUUCAGAGAGAAAUGUUCUGCUCUUUUGCUGUCUGUCCCUCAGAAGCAGUCAUUAUGCUCCUGGAGCUUCCACACUUCCUCUCUAGUGUGUGUGUGUGUGUGUGUGUGUGCAUGUGUAUAAUGUGUGUUUUUGUGCAGAUUAUCGUCCAUGUGUGCUGUGUGUGAGUUCCCAUCUUUGUCUCAUUGUGUGUGUGUGUGUGUGCGGUGCUUUUGAGCAGGCUCCCCGCUGACGCCGCAGGGGUGCGAGUCGUCACGCGCUGAGGGCCGUCCGCUACGUUAGCGCCGGAGCAGCUAAAACUCCAUUUUCAGCAGAGUGUUUGAAGCCAGAGGAUGAAAGUCGCUGCUCUCCCUCUCUCUCUCUCUCUCUCUCUCUCUCUCUCUCUCUCUCUCUCUCUCGCUCUCUUCUGACGCCUCUGAUGGACAACUCAGUGGCCAGCCACUUCUUUAAUUAAAGGCACAGUCUGCCGUUUUCUCCUUAGAUGAAAGAGUAUUGACCUGAUGGGGCUCUUGGUAGAUAGGGACGAUGGGAGUGUCACCGAACUCAGUUUGGUCUCCCAAGACUGAGUGUGUUUUAGUCACAUUAGAGUCGGGGAAUGUGGCCAGAAUCAACUCUAAUGCAGCGCAAAUACAGUAUGCAAGUUAAUCACUAUGGUUGUUUUACUGGUAUUUCAUUCUAGAUCACAGUUUACUGCAGUUUCAACACUCAACUAUAUCCCCCCGUGGCCCUGCAAAUAAUGCUUUUCCUUUCUAAGAAGAAGUAGUGAGACGUUGUCAUUGUUCAGGCUGUUCGUAUUUAAUCCACAUAAUCGGGAACCAGGAAGUAUAAAGAGUGCUAAACACAGCGUAGGGAGGAGAUCAGGGUGGACUGGUGGGCUGAAAAACACCUGAUUUUUGCCCAGGAGACCGGCGUUUUCGUCCUGUAUGAAACCAGAAAUCAACGUUGAUUUAUUCACGUAACUUCUGUACUUAAGUAAUGCCACUUUCGUAGUUAUUUUAACCCAAACGUUGACUUAUUUGUCACGUGACUUCCAUACUUCAGUUACACCACUUCUUCGUGCUCUCUAUCAGCUUUGAUCACGUCAUAAUGGGUCAUCAUUUUAGGUUUUUUUUAGGCAAGAUGGAGAGUGUGAAGUGUAAAUGUAUUGGUACCAAUUUCAAUCUCUCUGGAUUAGGGUUUGUUUGGGGGAA